GACGAACGCUGGCGGCGGGCUUAACACAUGCAAGUCGAACGGAAAGGCCCUGCUUUCGUGGGGUGCUCGAGUGGGGAACGGGUGAGAAACACGGGAGUAUCCUGCGCUGGAGUUUGGGAUAACUUCAGGAAACUGGGGCUAAUACCGGAUAGGAGCGCCUGCAGCAGGGUGGGGGUUGGAAAGUUUAGGCGGAGGUGGAUGGAGUUGGGGCUAAUCAGCUUGUGGGGGGGGUAGCGGCUUAGCGAGGGUUCGACUGGUAGGCGGCGUGGGAGGGUGGACAGCCACAUUGGUACUAAGAUACGGACCAGACUCCUACAUGAGGCAACAGUGGGGAGUAUUGUACAAUGAUCGCGAGCGUGAUGCAACAGCGCCGCGUGCGGGAUGACGGCCUUCGGGUUGGAAACCGCUUUCGCCUGUUACGUAGCGUGAGUGACGGUAAUGGGUAAAGAAGCACCGGCUAACUACGUG
Molecule: ribosomal RNA, 468 nt
Filed under: uncultured bacterium
Lineage: Bacteria
Description: partial 16S ribosomal RNA
Rfam family: Bacterial small subunit ribosomal RNA
Source: RNAcentral